RNAcentral lists this transfer RNA (72 nucleotides) under Myxococcus xanthus. Its description in RNAcentral is "tRNA-Ala". It matches the Rfam family "tRNA". Rfam says of the family: Transfer RNA (tRNA) molecules are approximately 80 nucleotides in length. Lineage: Bacteria; Pseudomonadati; Myxococcota; Myxococcia; Myxococcales; Myxococcaceae. The record is from RNAcentral. RNAcentral also lists the same sequence under 3 other names.
GGGUACGUAGCUCAAGGGGAGAGCACUCGGCUUGCACCCGAGGGAUCCGGGUUCGAAUCCCGGCGAAUCCAC